Megalobrama amblycephala (Wuchang bream) is the source of this 792-nucleotide long non-coding RNA. RefSeq lists it as uncharacterized. The record is from RefSeq and is a predicted model, not a curated record. Lineage: Eukaryota; Metazoa; Chordata; Actinopteri; Cypriniformes; Xenocyprididae. The transcript is spliced from 6 exons.
CCCGCAUCCUGUACACAGUGUUCGGGGACAAGGAGUUAACGGAGCCCAUGACCGUGCUGCUGCUGAACUGCGCGAACACCGACGGCUCUGGGGAGUUUUUCGGCGUGGCGGUGAUUUUGUAAGAGCUCGCGCCUGUAUUUUAUUGUUCUGGGAGAAGUGAGUGUUCACGUAUGCCCCCUCCCUCUGUCAGGGAGAGAGAGAGAGGACCUAUCAGCACUGAAGGACGACACAGGAUCAUUGUCAUGUUGGAAGUUGAAUGACCUGCCCAUCUUCAGCUGUCUAGCAGAGGGACACAGGUUUUCCUGAAGAAUUUGGAUGUACUUGCAGCAUCCAUUUUCCCUUCAAUCCUGACCAAUUGCCCAGUCCCCGCUGAAGAGAAACACCCUCACAACAUAAUGCUGCCACCACCAUGCUUCACAGUAGAAAUAUUGAUGUCUUGAAGAUUGAAGCACUGGAAAAAGCAGGUAGACUACAGGAGGAACCAUAGUUGACCUGCAACAGAGGCUUAUAGGAUGGAUGAGCCGGAAUAGAAGGGGCAGGAUGUGUGCUAUUUAAGAAAAAAUUCCCCAAGUUUCCCACUGAAACAACAAAGGACACUAUUUCUAUACUUUGCUUUCCACUGCUGCAAGCAUACACUUUCUAUGACAUACAGAAUAAUUAAACAAAUGUCUGUAGCUGGCACUUUUGUUGGUUGGCUCAGUGUUGAUGCUGUGGAUCGUUGGCCCAAUGCUGGCUCUUCUCCGAAGGCUUCCAGACUGGCUGAACUGAGAUGUGUCCACAGGAAAUGCUCUC